This is a non-coding RNA of Rhizophagus irregularis, 400 nucleotides long. The record is from Rfam. NCBI's taxonomy places the organism in Eukaryota, Fungi, Glomeromycota, Glomeromycetes, Glomerales, Glomeraceae.
AAAGUGGGCUUGGUUUCCAGGCCUAUCCUUUCAUAUUUCAUAAGGAUAACAAUUUGGCUGUAUGCUGGAAUACCCUGAUAAAUGUUAGAUGGUAUUAUCCUUUACCAAUAAUUCUAAUAUAGGGGCAAUCAGCAGGGAAGUUCAAUAUUUUAACCCCUCAACGACCACACGCCAAAACCAAACUACAGGUUACUUAGAAGUCAAUAAGAAAUGCUAUUCAAUCCUAAUUACAUUAGUGGGUUAGUCCAAGCUAAUGGAUCUUUUUUUGUGUCUUCUUAGGUUUUCCUAAGGGAAUUACAUCCUUAACGGAAAACCCGGCAUAGGUAGCCUUCGAGGGACCGGGUUUGAUAAAUACCUGUAAUUUAGUAUGAUAUGGUCUAAACAUGGUUGAAAAAUCAUG